AGCGAACGUUUGCGGCGGGCUUAACACAUGCAAGUCGAACGAGAAUCCCUUCGGGGAGGAAAGUGGCGCACGGGUGCGUAACACGUGGAUAACCAACCCAUUGGUUUGGGACAACACCGGGAAACUGGUGCUAAUACCAGAUGUGUCGCAGCUGUCUUCAGGCGGUUGCGAGAAAGGCCCGCAAGGGUCGCCAACGGACGGGUCCGCGUCCCAUCAGCUAGUUGGUGAGGUAAUGGCUCACCAAGGCAAAGACGGGUAGCUGGUCUGAGAGGAUGAUCAGCCACACUGGAACUGAGACACGGUCCAGACUCCUACGGGAGGCAGCAGUGGGGAAUAUUGCGCAAUGGGCGAAAGCCUGACGCAGCCACGCCGCGUGAGCGAUGAAGGUCUUCGGGUCGUAAAGCUCUGUGGGGAGAGACGAAGAAAGCCUGUGAAGAGCAGGCCUUGACGGUAUCUCCUUAGCAAGCACCGGCUAACUCCGUGCCAGCAGCC
This 492-nucleotide ribosomal RNA is filed under the name uncultured bacterium. Its description in RNAcentral is "bacterial SSU rRNA". It matches the Rfam family "Bacterial small subunit ribosomal RNA", at positions 29 to 516 of the family's 1533-position model. The record is from RNAcentral.